RNAcentral lists this ribosomal RNA (491 nucleotides) under uncultured bacterium. Its description in RNAcentral is "partial 16S ribosomal RNA". It matches the Rfam family "Bacterial small subunit ribosomal RNA", at positions 28 to 507 of the family's 1533-position model. The record is from RNAcentral.
GAUGAACGCUAGCUACAGGCUUAACACAUGCAAGUCGCGGGGCAGCAUGGGGGUUGCUUGCAACCCCUGAUGGCGACCGGCGCACGGGUGAGUAACGCGUAUCCAACCUGCCCUUCACCACGGGAUAACCCGGCGAAAGUCGGACUCAUACCGUAUGUUGUCCAUUGACGGCAUCCGAGUUAGACGAAAGGCUUGGCGGAGAAAGGAUGGGGAUGCGUCCGAUUGGCUUGACGGCGGGGUAACGGCCCACCGUGGCUACGAUCGGUAGGGGUUCUGAGAGGAAGGUCCCCCACACUGGAACUGAGACACGGUCCAGACUCCUACGGGAGGCAGCAGUGAGGAAUGUUGGUCAAGGGGCGUAAGCCUGAACCAGCCAAGUAGCGUGCAGGAUGCCGGCCCUAGGGGUUGUAAACUGCUUUUAUGCGGGGAUAAAGUGGCCCACGUGUGAGCUUUUGCAGGUACCGAAUGAAUAAGGACCGGCUAAUUACGUG